UCUUCCAUGGGGUGAGGGGGAUGGGGGACCCAAUGCUCAGUGGGUUGGGAUCGUGUUAUCCCAAAUAUAGGGCAGUUAUGGGGCAGGGGGUUCUGUGGGGCGAUGGGGAUGGGGGAGCCCAUGGUCAGGGGGGUUUGGGGUCGUGGUGCCCCACAUAUAGGGCAGUUAUGGGGCUGGGGGUCUUUUGGGGAAUGGGAUGGGGAACCCAAUUCUCACUGCAUUUGGGGUCUUGGUUUUGGGGCACUUAUGGGGCAGGGGUUCCUGUGGGGAUGGGGAAGCCAAUGGCUGGGGGUCUUUUGGGGUUGGGUGGGGGCACCCAAUUCUCGCAGGCUUUGGGGUCGUGGUUUUGGGGCACCUAUGGGGCAGAGGUUCUGCUUUGGGGAUGGGGAACCCAACGGUGGACGGGUUUGGGGUCCCACAUGUGGGGCAGCUGUGGGGCUGGGGGUCUUUUAGGGUUGGGGUUGGGGGCACCCAAUUCUCGCUGGCUUUGGAUCGCGCUUUUGGGGCACCUAUGGGUCAGAGGUUCCCCUUUGGGGAUGGGGAACCCAAUGGUGGAUGGGUUUGGGGUCCCACAUGUGGGGCAGCUGUGGGGCUGGGGGUCGUUUGGGGUCAUGGGGUUGGGGAACCCAAUGGUGGACGGGUUUGGGGUCCCACAUGUGGGGCAGCUGUGGGGCUGGGGGUCUUUUGGGUUUGGGUGGGGGCACCCAAUUCUCGCAUGCUUUGGGGUCGCCCUUUUGGGGCACUUAUGGGGCAGAGUUUCCCCCUCGAUGUCGGGACGCCACGCAUGGAAUCCACCCCCAACCCGCAGCGGCGCCGCGCCUCCAGCACCCAGAUUUGGGGCGGGGGUCCCAACGCCGCCCCCCCCCCAUGACCCCCCCCGCCCCCCAGGUGCUGCUCCUACGUGGGGCGGCGCGGGGGGGGCCCGCAGGCCAUUUCCAUCGGGAAGAACUGCGACAAGUUCGGCAUCGUGGUGCACGAGCUGGGCCACGUCAUCGGCUUCUGGCACGAGCACACGCGGCCCGACCGCGACCAGCACGUCGCCAUCAUCCGCGACAACAUCCAGCCAGGGCAGGAGUACAACUUCCUCAAGAUGGAGCCGGAGGAGGUGGAGUCGCUGGGGGAGACGUACGACUUCGACAGCAUCAUGCACUACGCCCGCAACACCUUCUCCAGGUGCUGCCCCACUGCGCCCCACUGCGCCCCAUAGCGCCCCAUAGCGCCCUGCUUUGCCCUGCCCCACUGCGCCCCACUGCGCCCCAUAGCGCCCCAUANNNNNNNNNNNNNNNNNNNNNNNNNNNNNNNNNNNNNNNNNNNNNNNNNNNNNNNNNNNNNNGCCCCAUAGCGCCCUGCUCUGCUCUGCCCCACUGCGCCCCACUGCGCCCCACUGCGCCCCAUAGCGCCCUGCUC
RNAcentral lists this long non-coding RNA (1407 nucleotides) under Phasianus colchicus (ring-necked pheasant). Its description in RNAcentral is "lncRNA (ENSPCLG00000017780.1)". Lineage: Eukaryota; Metazoa; Chordata; Aves; Galliformes; Phasianidae. The record is from RNAcentral.